Molecule: long non-coding RNA, 218 nt
Filed under: Ananas comosus (pineapple)
Lineage: Eukaryota; Viridiplantae; Streptophyta; Magnoliopsida; Poales; Bromeliaceae
Description: long non-coding RNA (ACOM_LNC038515)
Source: RNAcentral
UUGAACUUGUCGUUUAAGCUUAGAAUUCCGGUUUGCUCUAAAAUUCGGUUGGAUUUGGCGUUGCACAAUAGAAUACCGAUUCCCUUGAAGUGAUCUACUCAAAUGAUUUAACUUUUGAUUCCGUGGGGGAUGUCGAGUUGUAGACGAUGUCGAUUGAGGUUUUGAGAGUGUCGAUCGAUGUGUAGACAAUGCCAAUUGUUUCUUCUUUUCCUUAUUUG